CGAACGGCAGCAUAGAGAGCUUGCUCUCUGAUGGCGAGUGGCGAACGGGUGAGUAAUACAUCGGAACGUGUCCGUUUGUGGGGGACAACCACCCGAAAGGGUGGCUAAUACCGCAUAAGACCUGAGGGUGAAAGCCGGGGACCGCAAGGCCUGGCGCGAACGGAGCGGCCGAUGACUGAUUAGCUGGUUGGCGGGGUAAAGGCCCACCAAGGCGACGAUCAGUAGCUGGUCUGAGAGGACGACCAGCCACACUGGAACUGAGACACGGUCCAGACUCCUACGGGAGGCAGCAGUGGGGAAUUUUGGACAAUGGGGGCAACCCUGAUCCAGCCAUGCCGCGUGCGGGAAGAAGGCCUUCGGGUUGUAAACCGCUUUUGUCAGGGACGAAAAGGUGCGGGUUAAGAGCUAGCACUGAUGACGGUACCUGAAGAAUAAGCACCGGCUAACUACGUGCCAGCAGCCGCGGUAAUACGUAGGGUGCGAGCGUUAAUCGGAAUUACUGGGCGUAAAGCGUGCGCAGGCGGUUGGGUAAGACAGAUGUGAAAUCCCCGGGCUUAACCUGGGAACUGCAUUUGUGACUGUCCGACUGGAGUAUGUCAGAGGGGGGUGGAAUUCCAAGUGUAGCAGUGAAUGCGUAGAUAUUUGG
Molecule: ribosomal RNA, 646 nt
Filed under: uncultured beta proteobacterium
Lineage: Bacteria; Pseudomonadati; Pseudomonadota; Betaproteobacteria
Description: bacterial SSU rRNA
Rfam family: Bacterial small subunit ribosomal RNA
Source: RNAcentral